This 422-nucleotide ribosomal RNA is filed under the name uncultured bacterium. RNAcentral's name for it is "bacterial SSU rRNA". It matches the Rfam family "Bacterial small subunit ribosomal RNA", at positions 355 to 774 of the family's 1533-position model. The record is from RNAcentral.
UGAGGAAUAUUGGACAAUGGGUGGAAGCCUGAUCCAGCCAUCCCGCGUGAAGGAUGACGGUUCUAUGGAUUGUAAACUUCUUUUGUACAGGGAUAAACCUGCCCUCGUGAGGGCAGCUGAAGGUACUGUACGAAUAAGCACCGGCUAACUCCGUGCCAGCAGCCGCGGUAAUACGGAGGGUGCGAGCGUUAUCCGGAUUUAUUGGGUUUAAAGGGUCCGUAGGCGGGCCUGUAAGUCAGUGGUGAAAUCUCAUAGCUUAACGAUGAAACUGCCAUUGAUACUGCAGGCCUUGAGUAAAUUUGAAGUGGCUGGAAUAAGUAGUGUAGCGGUGAAAUGCAUAGAUAUUACUUAGAACACCGAUUGCGAAGGCAGGUCACUAAGAUUUAACUGACGCUGAUGGACGAAAGCGUGGGGAGCGAACA